CGCCUGUUUAACAAAAACAUGUCCUUUUGUUUUAAAUUUAAGGUCUAACCUGCCCAAUGAUUAAUUUUAAUGGCCGCGGUAUAUUAACUGUGCUAAGGUAGCAUAAUCACUUGUCUUUUAAUUAAAGGCUAGAAUGAACGGUUGGACGAAGUAUUUACUUUCUUUAGUUUAGUUUAUGAAUUUAAUUUUUUAGUUAAAAAGCUAAAAUGUAUUUGGGGGACGAGAAGACCCUAUAGAUCUUUAUAUUUUAUUUUAUUUUGUAUUUUGGUAUUGAUUAAUUAUUUUAAUAAUCUAAUGUAUUUGAUUGGGGUGAUUGUAGAAUUUUAAUUAACUUCUAUUUUUUAUAUUCAUUAAUUAAUGUUUUUUUGAUCCAAUUUUAUUGAUUACAAGAUUAAGUUACCUUAGGGAUAACAGCGUAAUUUUUUCGGAGAGCUCAUAUCGAUGAAGAAGUUUGCGACCUCGAUGUUGGAUUAAAAUAAGUUUUAGGUGCAGGAGCUUAAAAACUAGGUCUGUUCGACCUUUAAUUUUUUACAUGAUCUGAGUUCAGACCGG
Molecule: ribosomal RNA, 552 nt
Filed under: Zelus sp. JZ-2016
Lineage: Eukaryota; Metazoa; Arthropoda; Insecta; Hemiptera; Reduviidae
Description: partial 16S ribosomal RNA
Rfam family: Bacterial large subunit ribosomal RNA
Source: RNAcentral